Molecule: ribosomal RNA, 513 nt
Filed under: uncultured bacterium
Lineage: Bacteria
Description: partial 16S ribosomal RNA
Rfam family: Bacterial small subunit ribosomal RNA
Source: RNAcentral
GACGAACGCUGGCGGCAUGCCUAAUACAUGCAGGUCGAGCGAACAGAUGAAGUGCUUGCACUUCUGACGUUAGCGGCGAACGGGCGAGUAACACGUAAGGAAUCUACCUAUAAGCGGGGGAUAACAUUCGGAAACGGGUGCUAAUACCGCACAAUAUCUUCUUCCGCAUGGAGGAAGUUUGAAAGACGGCUCUGCUGUCACUUAUAGAUGCCAUUGCGGUGCAUUAGUUAGUUGGUGGGGUAAUGGGCUACCAAGCAGAUGAUGCAUGGCCGACCGGGGAGGGUGAUCGGCCACAUUGGGAGUGAGACACGGCCCAAACUCCUACGGGAGGCAGCAGUAGGGAAUCUUCCGCAAUGGGCGAGGGCAUGACGGAGCAAUGCCGCGUGAGUGAAGAAGGCCUUCGGGUCGUAAAACUCUGUUAUAAGAGAAGAACAAAUUGUAGAGUAACUGCUACAGUCUGGACGGUAACUUAUCAGAAAGCCACAGCUAACUACGUGCCAGCAGCCGCCGUAA